UACAGAGGUCUCAAGCGUUGUUCGGAUUCAUUGGGCGUAAAGGGUGUGUAGGUGGCGCGCUAAGUCGGGUGUGAAAUUUCGGAGCUUAACUCCGAAACUGCAUUCGAUACUGGCGUGCUUGAGGACUGGAGAGGAGACUGGAAUUCAUGGUGUAGCAGUGAAAUGCGUAGAUAUCGUAAGGAAGACCAGUGGCGAAGGCGGGUCUCUGGACAGUUCCUGACGCUGAGGCGCGAAGGCCAGGGGAGCAAACGGG
RNAcentral lists this ribosomal RNA (253 nucleotides) under uncultured bacterium. Its description in RNAcentral is "partial 16S ribosomal RNA". It matches the Rfam family "Bacterial small subunit ribosomal RNA", at positions 524 to 776 of the family's 1533-position model. The record is from RNAcentral.